GCUCAAAUUUGAAAUCUUCAAGGUUCUACCUUGACGAAUUGUAGUUUAAAGAAGUGUUUUCUGUUAGUGGAGUGGCAAAAGUUCUUUGGAAUAGGACAUCAUAGAGGGUGAGAAUCCCGUAUUUGGUCAUUCCUUCUAGCUUUGUGAUACACUUUCAAAGAGUCGGAUUGUUUGGGAAUGCAGUCCAAAAUGGGUGGUAAAUUUCAUCUAAAGCUAAAUAUUGGCGAGAGACCGAUAGCGAACAAGUACCGUGAGGGAAAGAUGAAAAGAACUUUGAAAAGAGAGUUAAACAGUACGUGAAAUUGUCAAAAGGGAAGCGUUUGACACCAGUGUUGUUUUUCCGAAAAUCAAUUAUAAAUGUUUUGUUUCUGAGGAGUGAUGACUUCAUCGGCUUCCUUCUCUCUUCACGAAACUUUUGUAAUGCACUUUUCAGUUAACAAG
Molecule: ribosomal RNA, 441 nt
Filed under: uncultured Neocallimastigomycetes
Lineage: Eukaryota; Fungi; Neocallimastigomycota; Neocallimastigomycetes
Description: LSU rRNA
Rfam family: Eukaryotic large subunit ribosomal RNA
Source: RNAcentral